RNAcentral lists this long non-coding RNA (1974 nucleotides) under Nicotiana benthamiana. RNAcentral's name for it is "long non-coding RNA (NBEN_LNC004098)". Lineage: Eukaryota; Viridiplantae; Streptophyta; Magnoliopsida; Solanales; Solanaceae. The record is from RNAcentral.
UUAUUUAAUUUUAGAGUUUUUUUUUGUCUAAAUCCUAUUUGAGUUGAGAGGUGUAUAAUUUAGAUCAUAUUUCUUCUCUUAGGUAGUGGUUUUUAAAUGUUGGUUACUAUUAUGCUAACGUUAUCUUUUUAUUAAAAAAUGGGUGCAAUUUUGAGCUUUAAUUUCCUUCUGCUCUAUUUUUACUUCUUUUUGCUUCUUCUUUUUGUUUUUUUUCCUUUCUUAAUUCUUUUACCCCGUUCUGCCCGUGUCUAUUCUGAUUUAUCAAGAAUUUUGCAGAUGGCUUUUCCAGUGGUCGGAGCAUUACUAUGUCUUUGCUCCCAUUUGCCUCGAGAGUCGUUCCACUAAAUACCUCAAUGUAAGUAACUAGAUAAGUAUUCCAUAAAAAGAGUUGGGCUUCAAGAAAAUAUCACCGCCAAGCAAAAAAGAUUGAGUUACAUCCUCAGUUAUUAUAACGAUGUGUUCGCUGGUGUUUAAAAAAGGGUAAAACUUCUGCUGCCAUGAUUACUACUCACCUUGACUAUGUGUAAAUCUUGAUUUGUUAUGCCAUUUUGCUGGAAUUAUCUUUAUCGUGCUAUUUUUUUAAAUGAUACUUCGUUUUAGGUUUUGGUUUAAUUUUCAACGAUUGCAAAGUUGAAUAUUUGAUCAAUUUGCUACGUGAUUUAAAUAAAUUUUUCUUUUCUGUUUCAUGAAGCUAUACGUCAGUUUCAGUUUGUUCCUUUUUUGAUUUUAGAUAUAAAGCUUUCUUGAAAUGUGUGGGUCUAUAUGGGCAAUAUUUAUAUAUCGAUCUAGAUUAAAGUACACGUCAAAUAAGCUUUACGCAUAUUUAACAAGAGAAUAAAGAUAGACAGGGUAAAAAGUAAUGGAGUGGUGAAACAAAAUAUUCAUUUUCACUAUCAAGUCUUUGCAAUGUGAACUUGCAAUGCAGACUUUAAGCCAUUAAUGUGAACUUGGCAAUGCAGACUCACUGCAAGUAGGUUGUUUUGUAAGCUUAGAGCUUCUGUUUCAAAUUCUGAUAACAAGCCAAUUACUAUACCCACUCUAAAAAAAAGAGUCAUCUGAGAUGAUCUAUACUGAUAUUUCCCGUUUUGGCUCGGGAAUGCAAGUUCGAAUGUGUCAACCGCAGCUUAUAUCUUAGAAUUGUCUUGUUAUUUUUAUUGUCAAUGCAGCUUCUCCGUACCAACUUAUGGAUAGUCCUCAUCUCUGGCAAGAAUUGAGCAAAAUUUUUACUUUGCUUAUGGAUCUACCAAAUUCUUCAUGGCUAUUACAUAUUCGAAUUUUCUUAAAAAUUUUCUACGAUGAACUUUAAUUUUGAUCAAUGUUGGAAAUAACAAGAUCCACACAUUUCAGAAAAGUAUUAUACUUAGCAUCAGAAUGGAGAAGAAAGAGACAACGAAGUAAAAGGAGCGGUAGAAGAAAGGGGAAAUGGAAUUACAACAAACACAACUGAAAUAACCAAAUGAUUGGAAAUCAGCUUGAAAACCACCAAAACAUUUUCUCUUCUGAAGGAAUACCUAAUCAUAAUUAGCCGCUUUAAGUCUUUAUUCUAUUUCAUAGCAUUUAAUAUCACAACAUUCUAUAGAUAAUUCUUUCACUUGAACUUCAUAGUAAGCUUGCAGCCUUGCACCUAACAUUUGUUAGACAACUCAAGGCAUUUGAAUUUACACUUCGAGUGCAAAUCUCCUUUAGAGUUAUUAAUUGAUAAUUUUACUAUUCCAAAAGAGUACCGUAUGGACUGUCUGCUGUCUUCUAAAUUUUAUUCUUCUAAAUAUUGCAUAAUUUUAAAAUUAUGGAAUUGAAUUAUUUUUUGAAUUUGGUGGACUAUUGUAAAGUAUCAUCAUUCAAGAAAAUCCCUUUUUGUUGAUGAGUCUUGCUUCCGUGAUCCCUCUCAAUUUUUGCAGGAGGAGGAUGAAAGAAUAAAAAAGGAUGACAAGAACAAUUUGUGCAAUAAUGAAGAGGGCAUCGAUUUGGGGGGGG